ACGGGAGGCAGCAGUGGGGAAUAUUGGGCAAUGGGCGAAAGCCUGACCCAGCGACGCCGCGUGAAGGAAGACGGUCCUCGGAUUGUAAACUUCUUUUAUAAGGGACGAACAAUGACGGUACCUUAUGAAUAAGCCACGGCUAACUACGUGCCAGCAGCCGCGGUAAUACGUAGGUGGCGAGCGUUAUCCGGAUUUACUGGGUGUAAAGGGUGUGUAGGCGGGAUUGCAAGUCAGAUGUGAAAACUAUGGGCUUAACUCAUAGCCUGCAUUUGAAACUGUAGUUCUUGAGGGUCGGAGAGGUAACUGGAAUUCCUGGUGUAGCGGUGAAAUGCGUAGAUAUCAGGAGGAACACCGGUGGCGAAGGCGGGUUACUGGACGAUUACUGACGCUGAGACACGAAAGCGUGGGGAGCAAACAGGAUUAGAUACCCUGGUA
Molecule: ribosomal RNA, 435 nt
Filed under: uncultured Oscillospiraceae bacterium
Lineage: Bacteria; Bacillati; Bacillota; Clostridia; Eubacteriales; Oscillospiraceae
Description: bacterial SSU rRNA
Rfam family: Bacterial small subunit ribosomal RNA
Source: RNAcentral